Molecule: ribosomal RNA, 502 nt
Filed under: uncultured bacterium
Lineage: Bacteria
Description: partial 16S ribosomal RNA
Rfam family: Bacterial small subunit ribosomal RNA
Source: RNAcentral
AUUGAACGCUGGCGGCAUGCUUUACACAUGCAAGUCGAACGGCAGCACGGGUGCUUGCACCUGGUGGCGAGUGGCGGGCGGGUGAGUAAUGCAUCGGAACGUAUCCAAUAAUGGGGGAUAACGCAUCGAAAGGUGUGCUAAUACCGCAUACGCCCUGAGGGGGAAAGUGGGGGAUCGUAAGACCUCACGUUGAUGGAGCGGCCGAUGUCAGAUUAGCUAGUUGGUGAGGUAAAGGCUCACCAAGGCGACGAUCUGUAGCUGGUCUGAGAGGACGACCAGCCACACUGGAACUGAGACACGGUCCAGACUCCUACGGGAGGCAGCAGUGGGGAAUUUUGGACAAUGGGCGCAAGCCUGAUCCAGCCAUGCCGCGUGAGUGAAGAAGGCCUUCGGGUUGUAAAGCUCUUUCGCAAGGGAAGAAACGAUUCAGGAUAAUACCCUGGGUUAAUGACGGUACCUUGAUAAGAAGCACCGGCUAACUACGUGCCAGCCGCCGCAGUAA